UGCUGUUUGCGAGGGCAGGUUGUUUCGUGGGUGUCUUUGUAGCGUUAGUUGCUUCGCACUCUGUACCGGUAGGUGGCGGUGAUGCACAUUGUUUGCCAACCGCCAUAAAAGAAGUAGUAGUUGGUUGCACGAGGUCACAAGAAUGCGCGAAGAAAAAACAACAGAGUAUGUUUGAGUGUCCGUCUGGGGCUUUCUUUCAGGCGAAAUGAACUUUGCGUUUCGUCCAGAUGUCUUAAAUUGAGUUAAUUUGGCUUGGAAUGGAAGAGCAGUUGACCGAAGCGGACUGGGUUAGUUUAGGUACAGUGCAGCAAACGCAAUCGUAUAAGCCGUCGAGUUUCUUUGUGCCAACUCAUGUCAACUAAUGGCGUUGAGAAGUGAAGACGUUUGAAAUAAAAAUGUGACUGUCCGAGGGGAAGGAAGGAGAGUUCGACUUGCCUUCAAGCCCAGAAGCUUCGGUGGACCGACUGCGCCGAAUUUGCUUGUUUGAAGACAGACGCAAGCCUGACGAAGAGGCGACAACAUAGCGCGCUUCCUGUUUUGACUGCAGGCACGUGAUGGCGUUGAACGUGCAGUGUCUUCUUCCAGCAGGCUGUGAUCUGUGCAUUCUAUCACCUUUUAAAAUAAAGGAUUUGAAAAAAAUAA
Hippocampus zosterae (dwarf seahorse) is the source of this 642-nucleotide long non-coding RNA. RefSeq lists it as uncharacterized. Lineage: Eukaryota; Metazoa; Chordata; Actinopteri; Syngnathiformes; Syngnathidae. The transcript has 3 exons. The record is from RefSeq and is a predicted model, not a curated record.